UUUUUAUUCUCGUCGAUUAUACUGUUCUGACUUUCCUAUAUCAGCAUCCAUAAUCA
RNAcentral lists this small RNA (56 nucleotides) under Caenorhabditis elegans. RNAcentral describes it as "Unclassified non-coding RNA F20C5.10". The record is from RNAcentral. Lineage: Eukaryota; Metazoa; Nematoda; Chromadorea; Rhabditida; Rhabditidae.